UAGGGAAUCUUCGGCAAUGGACGAAAGUCUGACCGAGCAACGCCGCGUGAGUGAAGAAGGUUUUCGGAUCGUAAAACUCUGUUGUUAGAGAAGAACAAGGACGUUAGUAACUGAACGUCCCCUGACGGUAUCUAACCAGAAAGCCACGGCUAACUACGUGCCAGCAGCCGCGGUAAUACGUAGGUGGCAAGCGUUGUCCGGAUUUAUUGGGCGUAAAGCGAGCGCAGGCGGUUUCUUAAGUCUGAUGUGAAAGGCCCCGGCUCAACCGGGGAGGGUCAUUGGAAACUGGGAGACUUGAGUGCAGAAGAGGAGAGUGGAAUUCCAUGUGUAGCGGUGAAAUGCGUAGAUAUAUGGAGGAACACCAGUGGCGAAGGCGGCUCUCUGGUCUGUAACUGACGCUGAGGCUCGAAAGCGUGGGGAGCAAACAGG
RNAcentral lists this ribosomal RNA (429 nucleotides) under Gemmatimonadota bacterium. Its description in RNAcentral is "Gemmatimonadetes bacterium partial 16S ribosomal RNA". It matches the Rfam family "Bacterial small subunit ribosomal RNA", at positions 355 to 776 of the family's 1533-position model. Lineage: Bacteria; Pseudomonadati; Gemmatimonadota. The record is from RNAcentral.